CCUACGGGAGGCAGCAGUGAGGAAUAUUGGUCAAUGGACGAAAGUCUGAACCAGCCAAGCAGCGUGAAGGAUGACUGCCCUAUGGGUUGUAAACUGCUUUUAUAUGGGAAUAAAACAGGGUAUGCAUACCCUCCUGUAUGUACCCUAUGAAUAAGGAUCGGCUAACUCCGUGCCAGCAGCCGCGGUAAUACGGAGGAUCCUAGCGUUAUCCGGAUUUAUUGGGUUUAAAGGGGGCGUAGGUGGAUUGUUAAGUCAGUUGUGAAAGGUUGCGGCUCAACCGGAGAAUUGCAUGUGAAACUGGUAGGCUGGAGUGUAGUAGCGGUGGGCGGAAGUCGGGGUGUAGCGGUGAAAUGCUUAGAGAUCACGCAGAACUCCGAGUGCGGAGGCAGCUCACUGGACUGCAACUGACAGUGAUGCUCGAAAGUGUGGGGAUCAAACAGGAUUAGAUACCCGUGUAGUC
RNAcentral lists this ribosomal RNA (460 nucleotides) under uncultured bacterium. RNAcentral describes it as "partial 16S ribosomal RNA". It matches the Rfam family "Bacterial small subunit ribosomal RNA", at positions 338 to 795 of the family's 1533-position model. The record is from RNAcentral.